This 238-nucleotide ribosomal RNA is filed under the name uncultured bacterium. Its description in RNAcentral is "partial 16S ribosomal RNA". It matches the Rfam family "Bacterial small subunit ribosomal RNA", at positions 96 to 334 of the family's 1533-position model. The record is from RNAcentral.
CGGCGGACGGGUGAGUAACGCGUGGGUAACCUGCCUCAUACAGGGGGAUAACAGUUAGAAAUGACUGCUAAUACCGCAUAAGACCACAGUACUGCAUGGUACAGUGGUAAAAACUCCGGUGGUAUGAGAUGGACCCGCGUCUGAUUAGGUAGUUGGUGAGGUAACGGCCCACCAAGCCGACGAUCAGUAGCCGACCUGAGAGGGUGACCGGCCACAUUGGGACUGAGACACGGCCCAG